AAAUUCCUGUUAAACUCAAUGGAUGUUUUGAGUGUGCAAGGACGGGGCUAAGAAUUGUGUUCUACAUUCUGCACUUCUGAAGUCUCCCCAAGUAUCAGCACUUACAAUUAAAACUUUAAAGCAAAUAAGCAGCAGAUACAGCACAGAUGAAAUGCAUAUGAAAUGCCUCUGAACUCUCUGCGUGGUAGGAUGGAGCUCACAGAGUCAUUUAUCAUCACCUGUCCCCAAAUCCUUGCUUCAGGUUGCUGUGGAGGAAACCACUUAACAUCAAAGCCCCCUGACUGACUAGUGAGAACAUCAGCAGUGGACAGAAAGUCAAACAAGCUGAGCAUCAUGGAGUGUUCCAGUGAAAUACCUGACCUACCAUGUGCAAAAAGGAGAUUAAUCUAUAGCCUGAGAGGCUGUAUGACUGGAGCAGCAGGAGAGAAAUGAGCACUUAGCAGGAGCAAUGGGUAUGUUUAGUUUAUUCAAGUCCAGAGCCCACAGUAGCUUUAUUCAAGUAAAUGAUCUAGUCCAAAGAGAGGUUCUUUGAGCUCUGCACUAUAAUUAAUCUUCCCGUUCUGGUGAUUAAUUGCAGACACACACCUUAUCACUCCUGUUAAAUGACCCUCGUGCAUUUC
Molecule: long non-coding RNA, 620 nt
Organism: Strigops habroptila (Kakapo)
Lineage: Eukaryota; Metazoa; Chordata; Aves; Psittaciformes; Psittacidae
Exons: 3
Source: RefSeq, a predicted model, not a curated record